Molecule: long non-coding RNA, 423 nt
Organism: Quercus robur (English oak)
Lineage: Eukaryota; Viridiplantae; Streptophyta; Magnoliopsida; Fagales; Fagaceae
Exons: 3
Source: RefSeq, a predicted model, not a curated record
AAAUUAGAACUCUAAUUUUGUGCCAUGUGUCUAGAAUUUGAAAUUGAAGUUGAAUUUUGCAUCAUGUGGUUAAAUGUAUGUGGGCUCAUUCUCAUUAAAACCACUUCUAUGUAUCGGGUCAAGUUUGGCACUUAUAACAAUGAAGAAAGCACUGUUGUGGACCGAUGGAUGAUACUUUUUACAGGCUGCAAAGGAACUUAGUGAUCAAUGGAAUCUCACGCGAAUUGGAGAGGACCCGGCUGUAGAUGUCUGGAUGGCAGAUAAGCCAAUGAGAUGAAAUUAAUAACACAUUAAACACUCAUGCUUUGGGAAUCGGUAGUACCAAUCUAAAUCCAUUGGACCUAUUUCGUGAUAAUACAACUAUGAAGGAUGUAUAAAAACACGCACAAACCCCUCUCUCUAUAAAAAGAGAUUGGAGAGAAU